UUUGACACCAUUCUGAGCUACAUAGUGAGUUCAAGACCAGCCUAGAAAACAUCGAUAUCCCCAGUCUCAGAUUACAUCUGGAAAUUCCCAGGGGGAUGAGUAGAUCUUUGGAAGAGAAAAAGAGAUUAUAUGUUAUGGGAAAAGAUACAAUAACCAUUCUCUUCCCAUAAAGCAAGUGAUGGAAGAUUGUCUCUGCUCCAUAGAUAUACACCGCACAUUUUCAGGAUAAUACUAACAGGAAAUCAAUAGGAUCUUUUAUAUGUGAAAAGACAUUAUCUCUCUGGACUCCCAGCCCAGCUAAUCGGAGCGACAGAGGAUCUUCACAAAAACUUGCCAUUCACCAUUAAUCUUGGCCCCGGGACGACAAACAUGUGCUCGCAGUCCCCGGGAAGGGCUGUCUGCUAUAAGCUCAGCAUGAAAGCAGUGGGUAGAAGGAAGCGGGAAGUCAACACCGCUUGAGUUUCCUGAGGCUGCUGUAACAAAUAAUCACAAAGCAGCCUGAAUGGACUAAGACAGAGAUCUGGCCAAACUGCAGAGUUAUCUGCUUCCUGAGACGCGGACAGAGGACUGCCCUGCCCCUUCCGGGAAGGCCUCGGGCUGCAGUGCUUGGCUCCCUGGAGUCCUGGGCUCUCAGACCUGAACUCCACUCCAUUGAUGGAGGAAAACAUCUACCAGCGUCUCCUCGGCCACCAUCCUCUGUUUCCGGCCCCCUUCUCUCCCCAGUUUUACCACACAUCAAACAUCCCAUGUGCUUGGGGCGUGUAUUGUAUGCCAGGCACGUGAUGCUGUUGGAAGCACGAACAAAAUGUUUCAAGCACUUGCUUCAAGGGGCUUCCGGUCUAAGAGAGGAAAUAAAUCUCUGCA
Molecule: long non-coding RNA, 864 nt
Organism: Chinchilla lanigera (long-tailed chinchilla)
Lineage: Eukaryota; Metazoa; Chordata; Mammalia; Rodentia; Chinchillidae
Exons: 4
Source: RefSeq, a predicted model, not a curated record